AGAGUUUGAUCCUGGCUCAGGACGAACGCUGGCGGCGUGCUUAACACAUGCAAGUCGAGCGGAAAGGCCUUUCGGGGUACUCGAGCGGCGAACGGGUGAGUAACACGUGAGUAACCUGCCCUGGACUUUGGGAUAACCCUCGGAAACGGGGGCUAAUACCGGAUACGACACACUGACGCAUGUUGUGUGUGUGGAAAGUUUUUCGGUCUGGGAUGGGCUCGCGGCCUAUCAGCUUGUUGGUGGGGUGAUGGCCUACCAAGGCGACGACGGGUAGCCGGCCUGAGAGGGCGACCGGCCACACUGGGACUGAGACACGGCCCAGACUCCUACGGGAGGCAGCAGUGGGGAAUAUUGCACAAUGGGCGGAAGCCUGAUGCAGCGACGCCGCGUGAGGGAUGACGGCCUUCGGGUUGUAAACCUCUUUCAGCAGGGACGAAGCGCAAGUGACGGUACCUGCAGAAGAAGCGCCGGCCAACUACGUGCCAGCAGCCGCGGUAAGACGUAGGGCGCGAGCGUUGUCCGGAUUUAUUGGGCGUAAAGAGCUCGUAGGCGGCUUGUCGCGUCGACCGUGAAAACUUGGGGCUCAACCCCAAGCCUGCGGUCGAUACGGGCAGGCUCGAGUUCGGUAGGGGAGACUGGAAUUCCUGGUGUAGCGGUGAAAUGCGCAGAUAUCAGGAGGAACACCGGUGGCGAAGGCGGGUCUCUGGGCCGAUACUGACGCUGAGGAGCGAAAGCGUGGGGAGCGAACAGGAUUAGAUACCCUAGUAGUCC
RNAcentral lists this ribosomal RNA (771 nucleotides) under uncultured bacterium. RNAcentral describes it as "bacterial SSU rRNA". It matches the Rfam family "Bacterial small subunit ribosomal RNA", at positions 8 to 796 of the family's 1533-position model. The record is from RNAcentral.